Molecule: ribosomal RNA, 465 nt
Filed under: uncultured bacterium
Lineage: Bacteria
Description: partial 16S ribosomal RNA
Rfam family: Bacterial small subunit ribosomal RNA
Source: RNAcentral
GACGAACGCUGGCGGCGUGCUUAACACAUGCAAGUCGAACGGAAAGGCCCCUUCGGGGGUCCUCGAGUGGCGAACAGGUGAGUAACACGUGAGUAACCUGCCCUUGACUUCGGGAUAACUUCAGGAAACUGGGGCUAAUACCGGAUAGGAAUCCUUGCUGCAUGGUGGGGGUUGGAAAGCUUCGGCGGUUUUGGAUGGACUCGCGGCUUAUCAGCUUGUUGGUGGGGUAGUGGCUUACCAAGGCUUUGACGGGUAGCCGGCCUGAGAGGGCGACCGGCCACAUUGGGACUGAGAUACGGCCCAGACUCCUACGGGAGGCAGCAGUGGGGAAUAUUGCACAAUGGGCGGAAGCCUGAUGCAGCAACGCCGCGUGCGGGAUGACGGCCUUCGGGUUGUAAACCGCUUUCAGCAGGGGCGAAGCUUGUGGUGACGGUACCUGCAGAAGAAGCACCGGCUAACUACGUG